This 381-nucleotide ribosomal RNA is filed under the name uncultured eukaryote. RNAcentral describes it as "partial 18S ribosomal RNA". It matches the Rfam family "Eukaryotic small subunit ribosomal RNA", at positions 592 to 976 of the family's 1831-position model. The record is from RNAcentral.
CAAUAGCGUAUAUUAAAGUUGUUGCGGUAAAAAAGCUCGUAGUUGGAUUUCUACCGAAGAUAGCCGGUCGGGUCUUCGACCUUGUAUCUGGUUUUGUCUUUGGUAUCCUCAUAGGGAACGUUUCUGCGCUUUAUUGCGUGGUGCGGUAUCUAUGACUUUUACUUUGAGGAAAUUAGAGUGUUCACGGCAGGCAAACGCCUUGAAUAUAUUAGCAUGGAAUAAUAACAUAGGAUCUUCGUCCUAUUUUGUUGGUUUCUAGGGCUAAGAUAAUGAUUAAUAGGGAUAAUUGGGGGCAUCUGUAUCAACGCGUCAGAGGUGGAAUUCUUGGAUUGUGUUACGACAAACUACUGCGAAAGCAUUUGCCAAGGAUGUUUUCAUUGA